This 467-nucleotide ribosomal RNA is filed under the name uncultured bacterium. RNAcentral describes it as "partial 16S ribosomal RNA". It matches the Rfam family "Bacterial small subunit ribosomal RNA", at positions 28 to 506 of the family's 1533-position model. The record is from RNAcentral.
GACGAACGCUGGCGGCGUGCUUAACACAUGCAAGUCGAACGGAAAGGCCCUGCUUUUGUGGGGUGCUCGAGUGGCGAACGGGUGAGUAACACGUGAGUAACCUGCCCUUGACUUUGGGAUAACUUCAGGAAACUGGGGCUAAUACCGGAUAGGAGCUCCUGCUGCAUGGUGGGGGUUGGAAAGUUUCGGCGGUUGGGGAUGGACUCGCGGCUUAUCAGCUUGUUGGUGGGGUAGUGGCUUACCAAGGCUUUGACGGGUAGCCGGCCUGAGAGGGUGACCGGCAACAUGGGGAUGGAGAUCCGGCCCAGACCCGUAGGGGGGGCAGAAGGGGGGAAUAUGGCACAGGGGGCGGAGGCCUGAUGCAGCAACGCCGGGUGGGGGAUGAGGGCUUGCGGGUUGAAAACCGUUUUCGCCGGUGACGAAGGGUGAGGGAGGGAAAGGGGAAAAGAACCACCGCCAACCUACGU